RNAcentral lists this ribosomal RNA (163 nucleotides) under Sporocadaceae sp. Its description in RNAcentral is "partial large subunit ribosomal RNA". It matches the Rfam family "Eukaryotic large subunit ribosomal RNA", at positions 99 to 261 of the family's 3401-position model. The record is from RNAcentral. Lineage: Eukaryota; Fungi; Ascomycota; Sordariomycetes; Amphisphaeriales; Sporocadaceae.
CGGCAACAGCUCAAAUUUGAAAUCUGGCCCUCUCAGGGUCCGAGUUGUAAUUUGGAGAGGAUGCUUCGGGUGUGGCCCCGGUCUAAGUUCCUUGGAACAGGACGCCUUAGAGGGUGAGAGCCCCGUACGGUUGAAUGCCUAGCCUCUGUAAAUCUCCUUCGAC